Molecule: ribosomal RNA, 247 nt
Filed under: uncultured bacterium
Lineage: Bacteria
Description: partial 16S ribosomal RNA
Rfam family: Bacterial small subunit ribosomal RNA
Source: RNAcentral
AUACGUAGGUGGCGAGCGUUGUCCGGAAUUACUGGGCGUAAAGGGCGUGUAGGCGGAAAUUUAAGUCAGAUGUGAAAGCCCCGGGCUUAACCUGGGGACUGCAUUUGAUACUGGAUUUCUUGAGGACAGGAGAGGAAAGCGGAAUUCCUAGUGUAGCGGUGAAAUGCGUAGAUAUUAGGAGGAACACCAGUGGCGAAGGCGGCUUUCUGGACUGUAACUGACGCUGAGGCGCGAAAGCGUGGGGAGC